This 500-nucleotide ribosomal RNA is filed under the name uncultured bacterium. Its description in RNAcentral is "partial 16S ribosomal RNA". It matches the Rfam family "Bacterial small subunit ribosomal RNA", at positions 29 to 523 of the family's 1533-position model. The record is from RNAcentral.
AUUGAACGCUGGCGGCAUGCCUUACACAUGCAAGUCGAACGGCAGCACGGGAGCAAUCCUGGUGGCGAGUGGCGAACGGGUGAGUAAAGUAUCGGAACGUGCCCAGUCGUGGGGGAUAACGUAGCGAAAGUUACGCUAAUACCGCAUACGAUCUAUGGAUGAAAGCGGGGGAUCGCAAGACCUCGCGCGAUUGGAGCGGCCGACAUCAGAUUAGGUAGUUGGUGGGGUAAAGGCCCACCAAGCCGACGGUCUGUAGCUGGUCUGAGAGGACGACCAGCCACACUGGGACUGAGACACGGCCCAGACUCCUACGGGAGGCAGCAGUGGGGAAUUUUGGACGAUGGGCGAAAGCCUGAUCCAGCCAUGCCGCGUGCAGGAUGAAGGCCUUCGGGUUGUAAACUGCUUUUGUACGGAACGAAAAGGACUGCCCUAAUACGGUGGUCCCAUGACGGUACCGUAAGAAUAAGCACCGGCUAACUACGUGCCAGCCGCCGCCGUAA